This 1279-nucleotide long non-coding RNA is filed under the name Homo sapiens (human). Its description in RNAcentral is "HSALNT0325623". The record is from RNAcentral. Lineage: Eukaryota; Metazoa; Chordata; Mammalia; Primates; Hominidae.
UUUAUGUGAGCUUAUAUGUACUUUUCCGCAUAAAUAAUUUGUACUCUUAGUUAGAAACAAAUGAACUAUGGCUUUUGGUUUGGUUUUGUUUAUUUAUGAAUAAACAUUAAGAACUGUGCUUACGAAAUUUUCAGGAAAUAUACUGAAUGCUUUAAUGUACUCUGUAACAUUGCAACAUAUAAUUUCCCCUCUUCCCUCACUUUUUGAUGUAGCUAUCAUUGCUUUGAGUUUUUAUCUACUGGUUAUUUUAAAGAGCUUAAUGGUCUCAUUUACUUAAAAGUGGAAUAAUAUUGGACUACUAUUUUCUUUUUUUAACCUCUCUAGGUCAUUCUACAGUCAUUACCUUCCAGCCUAUUUGUUUCUGCAGAAUCUACAUAUGUAAUACCUAUAAAUUUUCUUUUCAUAUUUGUUCACUCAUCCACAUCAUUAAUAAAGUUAUUAAGUGAAGACAAACCCAGCAGUAGCACUCCCUUACCACCUUGAAAUAUUGUGCUGAUGUAGAGGUUGUAUCUGAUUUAAUUCUUCAAGGAUUAUUAAUGUAUGUGGAACUAGCUUUUCAGCCAUGGAAAUCUUUAGUACAUAUUUAAGAAAAAGUGAUUUAAUGCUCAGUAGGGAAAUGUUGUCCAAAACAGUGCCUGAAAAAAGCAGGUAUGUGUCCACAUUGGGCACACUGCAGGUGGGGUAUAUUGUUGAGAUAGGAAGGAAAAAUAAAAUGUGAGAAAAGGCAAGAGACAGAAAACAAAGUGCAGGUCGGGAAGAGACAACUUUAACUUCCACCAUUUGUUAAUCAAUUCUGAAAUAUUUUCAUUUUUACAGCCUAAAAUUAUGCAUGUGUUGGCAUUUUUUUAAAUGGAUGAUAUUACAGUUUUCAUUCAAGCAUUGGUAUAGAGCCUAAGCUUUUGUUAUGGAUGAGAUGUUUAGAUUCUUCAUCUGGAAAAUCUAUUUUCCUGUUAUUGAAGUCACAUAUAUACAUAUAUGUAUAUAUACUUUUAUAUAUGUGUCUAUAUAUAGUAAAAAUGUGUAUAUUUAUUUUAAAAAGUAUUUUGGUUCAUGUUUUUGUUCUUAAUGUUGUCCUACUAAAAUUACUUAAUCAUAAAUCUUUCUACUAACAGUAAGGCAGAAACAGAGUAACAAGGGAUUUUUUUUUUCUAUUAAACUGAAGACAGAGAAGUUUGGUAUUUAUUUUUACCUAAUAUAGCAAACUUCAAAAAACAAUCUAUUUCAAUAAAAAUAUUUUCCCCAGCUACAGAAAUAAACAAGGGAUAAUAUAUAAUCUAAA